UACGGAGGGUGCAAGCGUUGUCCGGAAUCACUGGGCGUAAAGGGCGCGUAGGCGGCUCGAUAAGCGUGUGGUGAAAGCCUGGGGCUCAACCCCGGGUCGGCCAUGCGAACUGUCGAGCUGGAGCACUGUAGAGGCAGGCGGAAUUCCGGGUGUAGCGGUGGAAUGCGUAGAGAUCCGGAAGAACACCGGUGGCGAAGGCGGCCUGCUGGGCAGUAGCUGACGCUGAGGCGCGACAGCGUGGGGAGCAAACAGG
RNAcentral lists this ribosomal RNA (253 nucleotides) under uncultured bacterium. RNAcentral describes it as "partial 16S ribosomal RNA". It matches the Rfam family "Bacterial small subunit ribosomal RNA", at positions 524 to 776 of the family's 1533-position model. The record is from RNAcentral.